GCACUCUAGGAUUGUGUAGAGCGUCUUAUAUGGAGACGCUCACCUUUCUAGGUUUGAGCACUCCGGGGAGUCUACAAUACAAUCCAUGCAA
Molecule: long non-coding RNA, 91 nt
Organism: Xenia sp. Carnegie-2017
Lineage: Eukaryota; Metazoa; Cnidaria; Anthozoa; Malacalcyonacea; Xeniidae
Exons: 2
Source: RefSeq, a predicted model, not a curated record